UUGGAGCAUGAGCUUUCGUGAAGCAGCAAUGGUAUGGACUACACUUACAGCGUACAGCGCUGGGAGUACAGCUGUCUUCAAUACAGCGUGUAGGGAAAACCACGCCAGUUGGCCACACUGACAGCUACCAGU
Molecule: non-coding RNA, 132 nt
Organism: Chelonoidis abingdonii (Abingdon island giant tortoise)
Lineage: Eukaryota; Metazoa; Chordata; Testudines; Testudinidae
Source: RefSeq, a predicted model, not a curated record